Panicum virgatum (switchgrass) is the source of this 1762-nucleotide long non-coding RNA. RefSeq lists it as uncharacterized. The transcript has 3 exons. Lineage: Eukaryota; Viridiplantae; Streptophyta; Magnoliopsida; Poales; Poaceae. The record is from RefSeq and is a predicted model, not a curated record.
GCUAUGGCAUACCCUAAGAUUUGGCCCACCAACGGAUCCCCACUCCCAGCCGGCCUGUCCAAGUGCCAGACUCGGCAUCUCCUGCGGUGGCGUGAGACGUCCUGCCUAGCGACGACGCGGCCGACUCGCCGAGCGCCCGAGCCUCAGCCCCUCCCUGCGGCACCGGCGCACCGCCCGGCCACAGCCGCGCCCGCCGCCCGCCGGGCACCGGAGCUGGCUGGAUCUAGACGCCGCGCCGCCUGUCCGCCGUUCAGCAGCCGCCGCGGCCCGCGGCGCCGCCCAGCUGCCUCUGCCUGUCCGCCGGUGCGCGGCCGCCGCCCAGCAGCCUCCGCCUGCCGCGAUGCAGCCGGCCAACGCCCUCCCAACCUCCCAAAGGCCAAAGCCCCAAACUGAAGAUUCUUGACCAGGAUCUCGUCCUAUGGGAUCAAGACUGAUUUGAUGCAUCCUGAUGGUAAAUGUCUAUGUAUUACAAAAUUUGUUUGCUGUUCAAGAUAUGUAUGGCAAAUUAAUCAAAUUCCAUAUAGAGAUUUUUUCCCCGUUUUGUAAGCUUAGCAUUAGUGUUCUGUGAUGACAGAGUUGGUUGAAGAAGUAUUGUACUGCUGAGUCUAGAAUCUUUAAAGGCUGGAUGCAACGUUGACAGGGCAUUGGUUGGCUGAGGGUUUAAGGAGUAUAUAUUUGUAUAAUGAGUUGUUCUUGUGAUAGUGUAAGAGUGUGUGUUGCUAUGUGUGGACUCACUAUGCAACAUAUAUGUGAUCAUUUCCUCUUAAUCACAAUUUCAAUGCAAACAACACUGAUGUGGUAUACCAUAAAAACUACAUAUGCUGGAACACAAUGUAUUCUUUUCUUUUUCUUUUUCUUUUCUUUUUUUGAAAAUUUCAGUUACCAGAUUUCAUCACCCGGAAAGCGGGAAGACAUUGAUAAGAUUGGAACAGGGGGUUUGCUAAAUGAACAGAGCUAUCAUGUCACGUGGUGCCUUUGCAGUUAUCUAUAGACUGCACUUGAAAUACUACAAAAAGGAUCCUGAGGUCAGCAAUCUGUUUCAGCUAAAUCGGCUGUAGGAUGUAAGUGAGAGGGGGGCAGCUAAGUGCACAAUUUCCAUACUAAUCUUGUGGUGGCAGUUGCAGGGGCAUUGCAUUAACACCCAGUCACUUAGAGAUGCAGGUACAUACAAUUUUGGUUUCUAGAACUUGAGAUAUAUAUCUGGCAAUUUCUGAAUAACACCCAGGGUCUUUUUUAUUUCCAUUUUGGGAUUUGUAUUCUGAUCCGAGAGAGAUCCUGAUUAGGAGCUGGGAGAUUCAACCCUGUUGCUUUUUUGUUUGUGUAUGGAGUAUGCAGUGAAUACUUGUAUAUUUCUUGCUACCAUCUUUUGAAUUUUUUUCUUUGCUCAUGCAGGUUACUCUUGGAAGAGACUUGGAAGAGAGACAGAAGAUGUUAAAGUUGACAUUGAUUUGGGAAAAGAAGGAAGGGCAAAUAAAAUAUCUCGCUGACAGGCUGUGAGGUUUGCUUGAAUUAGCAAUGCAGUCUACUUUAUCCCAUAGACAAUACUAGGGGCUGGAAAGCUGGCAUCGAUGGAUUGUGUUUCAUUUAGGUUCCUUUUAGUUUAAUAUAAUGUAUUUGUGUUUUCUGUUGGGGAAUUUGCAGCUUUUAACACCUUUUUUUCCUUUCAAGUGCCAUGUGUAAAAAAAAAUUCAAUCUGUGUAAAUUGACCAAAGGCUUGUUUUGGAAAUAGGAACUUCUAAAAUUGUGGCACUUGUUGCUCAUA